RNAcentral lists this ribosomal RNA (296 nucleotides) under uncultured bacterium. RNAcentral describes it as "partial 16S ribosomal RNA". The record is from RNAcentral.
GGACUACUGGGGUUUCUAAUCCCAUUCGCUACCCACGCUUUCGUCCUAGCAGUGUCAGGAGACACCCAGAAGCCUGCCUACGCUAUCGGUGUUCCGAACGAUAUCAACGCAUUUCACUACUACACCGUUCGUUCCAGCUUCCUCUUUGUCCCUCUAGUCUAAAAGUUUCAAAAGACAGAUUCCGAGUUAAGCUCGGAGAUUUCACUUCUGACUUUUUAGACCACCUAUCGGUACGCUUUACGCCCAAUGAUUCCGGAUAACGCUUGAGGUCUCUGUAUUACCGCGGCUGCUGGCAC